This is a long non-coding RNA of Etheostoma cragini (Arkansas darter), 102 nucleotides long. RefSeq lists it as uncharacterized. The transcript has 3 exons. Lineage: Eukaryota; Metazoa; Chordata; Actinopteri; Perciformes; Percidae. The record is from RefSeq and is a predicted model, not a curated record.
GUCUCUACGACUUGUAACGUUAGACAGCCAUUUACAGCCAUUAUUAGAUCUUGAUAGAGGCAUGCUGCGUGCUGAUUGGCUCACUGAUGAGAUAUACUCCUU